ACGUAGGGGGCAAGCGUUGAUCGGAAUCACUGGGCGUAAAGCGUGCGCAGGCGGUUGUGCAAGACAGAUGUGAAAUCCCCGGGCUCAACCUGGGAACUGCAUUUGUGACUGCACGACUGGAGUGCGGCAGAGGGGGAAGGAAUUCCGCGUGUAGCAGUGAAAUGCGUAGAUAGGCGGAGGAACACCGAUGGCGAAGGCAAUCCCCUGGGCCUGCACUGACGCUCAUGCACGAAAGCGUGGGGAGCAAACAG
RNAcentral lists this ribosomal RNA (251 nucleotides) under uncultured prokaryote. RNAcentral describes it as "partial 16S ribosomal RNA". It matches the Rfam family "Bacterial small subunit ribosomal RNA", at positions 525 to 775 of the family's 1533-position model. The record is from RNAcentral.